Molecule: ribosomal RNA, 1503 nt
Filed under: uncultured bacterium
Lineage: Bacteria
Description: 16S ribosomal RNA
Rfam family: Bacterial small subunit ribosomal RNA
Source: RNAcentral
UAGAGUUUGAUCCUGGCUCAGGAUGAACGCUAGCGACAGGCCUAACACAUGCAAGUCGAGGGGCAUCGGGGCGAGGAGCAAUCCUUGCCGCCGGCGACCGGCGCACGGGUGAGUAACGCGUAUGCGACCUGCCCGUUGCAGGGGGAUAAUCGGGAGAAAUCCCGUCUAAUACCGCGUAAUGCCGCGGGGCUGCAUGGCCCUGCGGCCAAAGGGAGCGAUUCCGGCAACGGAUGGGCAUGCGUGACAUUAGCUAGUUGGCGGGGCAACGGCCCACCAAGGCGACGAUGUCUAGGGGUUCUGAGAGGAAGGUCCCCCACACUGGUACUGAGACACGGACCAGACUCCUACGGGAGGCAGCAGUGAGGAAUAUUGGUCAAUGGGCGCGAGCCUGAACCAGCCAAGUCGCGUGAGGGAAGACGGUCCUAUGGAUUGUAAACCUCUUUUGUCGGGGAGCAAAAGACGCCACGUGUGGCGUUCCGAGAGUACCCGAAGAAAAAGCAUCGGCUAACUCCGUGCCAGCAGCCGCGGUAAUACGGAGGAUGCGAGCGUUAUCCGGAUUUAUUGGGUUUAAAGGGUGCGCAGGCGGAAGAUCAAGUCAGCGGUAAAAUUGAGAGGCUCAACCUCUUCGAGCCGUUGAAACUGGUUUUCUUGAGUGAGCGAGAAGUAUGCGGAAUGCGUGGUGUAGCGGUGAAAUGCAUAGAUAUCACGCAGAACUCCGAUUGCGAAGGCAGCAUACCGGCGCUCAACUGACGCUCAUGCACGAAAGUGUGGGUAUCGAACAGGAUUAGAUACCCUGGUAGUCCACACAGUAAACGAUGAAUACUAAUUGUUCGGGGAGAAUGAUCCCUGAGUGAUACAGCGAAAGCGUUAAGUAUUCCACCUGGGGGGUACGCCGGCAACGGUGAAACUCAAAGGAAUUGACGGGGGCCCGCACAAGCGGAGGAACAUGUGGUUUAAUUCGAUGAUACACGAGGAACCUUACCCGGGCUCAAACGACACAGGAAUACUUUUGAAAGGAGGUAGCUCUACGGAGUCUGUGUCGAGGUGCUGCAUGGUUGUCGUCAGCUCGUGCCGUGAGGUGUCGGCUUAAGUGCCAUAACGAGCGCAACCCCCAUCGCCAGUUACCAGCAAGUCAAGUUGGGGACUCUGGCGAGACUGCCGGCGCAAGCUGUGAGGAAGGCGGGGAUGACGUCAAAUCAGCACGGCCCUUACGUCCGGGGCGACACACGUGUUACAAUGGCAGGUACAGAGAGAAGCAAUGCGGCGACGCAAAGCGGAACUUGAAAGCCUGUCUCAGUUCGGAUUGGAGUCUGCAACUCGACUCCAUGAAGCUGGAUUCGCUAGUAAUCGCGCAUCAGCCAUGGCGCGGUGAAUACGUUCCCGGGCCUUGUACACACCGCCCGUCAAGCCAUGGAAGCCGGGAGUGCCUGAAGUGUGCAACCGCAAGGAGCGCCCUAAGGUAAAACUGGUGACUGGGGCUAAGUCGUAAUCAAGGUAACCGUA